Molecule: ribosomal RNA, 792 nt
Filed under: uncultured bacterium
Lineage: Bacteria
Description: bacterial SSU rRNA
Rfam family: Bacterial small subunit ribosomal RNA
Source: RNAcentral
AGAGUUUGAUCAUGGCUCAGGAUGAACGCUAGCGGCAGGCCUAAUACAUGCAAGACGAACGGUAAGUGGUGUAGCAAUACAUCGCCUAGAGUGUCGCAAGGGUGCGUAACACGUAUGCAAUCUGCCCUCAACAGGAGGAUAGCUCCCCGAAAGGGGAAUUAACACUCCAUAACACCACGAAUGGGCAUCUGUUUGUGGUUAAAACUCCGGUGGUUGAGGAUGAGCAUGCGGAUGAUUAGCUAGUUGGCGGUGUAACGGACCACCAAGGCGAUGAUCAAUAGGGGAACUGAGAGGUUUAUCCCCCACACUGGCACUGAGAUACGGGCCAGACUCCUACGGGAGGCAGCAGUAGGGAAUAUUGGACAAUGGGCGCAAGCCUGAUCCAGCCAUGCCGCGUGCAGGAAGAAGGCCUUCUGGGUCGUAAACUGCUUUUCUCUGGGGAUAAAAAGACCCUGCGGGGUAAAUUGAAGGUACCAGAGGAAUAAGCCACGGCUAACUACGUGCCAGCAGCCGCGGUAAUACGUAGGUGGCAAGCGUUGUCCGGAUUUAUUGGGUUUAAAGGGUGCGUAGGCGGUUCCAUAAGUCAGUGGUGAAAUACGGCAGCUCAACUGUCGAGGUGCCAUUGAUACUGCAGAACUUGAGUACAGACGAGGUAGGCGGAAUUGACGGUGUAGCGGUGAAAUGCUUAGAUAUCGUCAAGAACACCGAUAGCGAAGGCAGCUUACUAGACUGUAACUGACGCUGAGGCACGAAAGUGUGGGGAUCAAACAGGAUUAGAUACCCUAGUAGUCC